CCGCGGGGUCAGUGUUGCUACCGCCGCUGCCAGGCGCUUCGGAGCUGUCCGCUUCAGCACCACGGCGGCGGCGGUAGUGGUGGUGCGGACCAGCCCGGAGCCCGCCGACGCACUCAUGCACUUUAGAACCUCGGGCCGCAGCUCCACCCCGCACACCGGAACCGACACAGAGACCCACGGCCCCCAGCCCGCCCCCUCCCGCACGGCUCCCCUGCCCCGCCCCUCCUCCGAUCAAUCUGGUCUGCAGCCCGGGCAGCUGCGGCGUCGGACUGCGCGGCCAGGGAGGUUUGGCUGCAUAUUUGCAUGAGCUUCCUACCCACCUCAGCCUAGCCCUCCGGGCCGUUCCUCAACUGUACCCCUGUCUGGCGUGACCCCAGCCUCUUUCUAAGGGACUUCCUCAGCACAUUUGUAUUUUUAUAUCCGAUUCUUUGUUUACUGGCUCCGCUCAUGGUUUGUGCCCUUCCCCCACAGCCUCCGCCAUGCUCUUCUGCGCCUGGCAGAUAGGACAGGUGUUGAGACUGGGAUGGGACAAGCCCCCAACAUGGUAACUAACCACAUGGCCAGUCUGCCCAGUUCUGACCCUAGGAGGCUCAUUGGGAGACUCCUCCCUCCCAAGGUAUCAUCUUUUAAGGGCCCAAGUCUGAUUUUACCUUGGACCCCUUCAUGCUACCCCUGGAAACCCAAAUGGGGACUGCUCAGUACCUUUGGAUGACAUCUGUGGACCGGAAGAUGUUCUCAACCCAGGGUUGUCCUUUGUAAAAAUGUUUCUUCAUCCUCAAUGUAACAGGAGUGUGUGAAUAAACACAGACCUCCGUGUGUGA
This 821-nucleotide long non-coding RNA is filed under the name Rattus norvegicus (Norway rat). RNAcentral describes it as "long non-coding RNA NONRATT006715". Lineage: Eukaryota; Metazoa; Chordata; Mammalia; Rodentia; Muridae. The record is from RNAcentral.